This is a transfer RNA of Felis catus (domestic cat), 85 nucleotides long. It matches the Rfam family "tRNA". Rfam says of the family: Transfer RNA (tRNA) molecules are approximately 80 nucleotides in length. Their secondary structure includes four short double-helical elements and three loops (D, anti-codon, and T loops). Further hydrogen bonds mediate the characteristic L-shaped molecular structure. tRNAs have two regions of fundamental functional importance: the anti-codon, which is responsible for specific mRNA codon recognition, and the 3' end, to which the tRNAs corresponding amino acid is attached (by aminoacyl-tRNA synthetases). tRNAs cope with the degeneracy of the genetic code in two manners: having more than one tRNA (with a specific anti-codon) for a particular amino acid; and 'wobble' base-pairing, i.e. permitting non-standard base-pairing at the 3rd anti-codon position. The record is from Rfam. Lineage: Eukaryota; Metazoa; Chordata; Mammalia; Carnivora; Felidae.
GCCUGGGAGGCUCAGCUGGUGAAGCAUCUGACUUCAGCUCAGGUCAUGAUCUCAUGGUUCGUGAGUUCGAGCCCCACAUCAGGCU